CCUUGCAACCACAAUUUGAAGGCGUUGACUUUGUUGCCCCUCACUCUCUCUCUAUCUCGCUCUGUCCCUCCCGCUCCCUCCCGCUCUGUUAUUUUCAUUUCUUCCAGCACUGUGUGAAGAGUUGUGUGCUAUGACAGAGCAAAAUGAGGUGCAGUUACCUCCUGUAAAAAAUGGAAAGACGAAAGUAAAGACAGCAUCAUGAUAAGGAUCAGGACUAAUCAAAACCACGAGAAAGACUGAUGAAGGUGCCGUCUUUGCUCUGCUGUACAGAAGCUGACAGGACAGAAGUGGACACAGCGUAGUUGGAUACCUGGAUGUAAACUUCUGCCUCUGCAGAGGGAAGGAGGGGCGUUUCAGGACAGAAAAUGCAGCUGUGUUUGUGUGUGUGUUUGUGUGUGUGUGUGUGUGCUGAUUCCGGGUCAUGCCAUCCCCAUGCUCUACCUCAUGGAGUGCUGCCAAUGCUGACGGCUGCUGCUGUGUGUCUGGCACCCCCACCCCCUUCCACUGCAGGGAACUGAUUAAGUGGAAGCUCGACCUCACCUGCUGUUGCCAGCCAAUACCGAUACACUAGAUGCUCCAUUCAGCCAAUACCAAACCAGGAAGAUUUGGCAAGGCUGGAGACAAACCAGCACACCAGCAAACCAGCAGCCCUUUUUUUUCGGCAGUGGAGAGAAAGUAAAACAAAUGAGGAGAGUGGUCAAGAAACGUGUCGAAAAAGCGGGCUAGACUGAGGAUAAUGAAACAAACAGAUGAUGGAAGUGUGAGGGACGAUACCUGCCAAAAAGGAAGAUGUUGAAAAGAGGGAGAGAUGGGAAGAAAGGUGUGCUGAAGGGGGAAAGAAACUGGUUCAAGGACAAGCACACAAGGAAUGAUUCCGCCUAACACACACACACACACACACACACACGCAACAAAUAUUCUCAGGUGGUGUAUUUUUGGCACAUCGUAGGCUUCAUAUGAGGAAAACUGCAAUGAUCUCUUUGGCUGGCUGAUGGGCUGUUUCAAUCCUAAUGUCUCUUUGGCAAUUUAAAAAAACUAAAUAUGAGUCAUUUAACCCAUCAUUUUCCAUACCACCCGGUGAAAAUACAUGCAUUGAAAAUGCAUCAUAUUUAGAAUGUUUAGGGAAAUUUUUGUUGUUUGUUUGCAUCUCCAUCCAUUAGUUUUCUAUGUUGCUAGUCCUCACUGGGGUCGCGGAGGUAUGCUGGAGCCUAGCCCAGCUGACUUUGGGGGCAGGGUACACCCUGGACUGGUCGCCAGCCAAUCGCAGGGCACUGUUUGCAUCUCACGUGAUUAAAAUAUGUUAGUAUAGCGCAGUGGUUCCAAACAACUGUGCCAGAUCAUCAGGUCUUCAAAUUUAACAUAAUUGGUCAGAAAAUAAACACAGGUUGUCCUCGGUUUAUGGAACUCUGCAAAUGUUAUGUUCACAAAAAUCAUAAAACUCUUUAAGACUACACAUAACUGGCAGGUGGCUACAGCAUCCUUGAGCAUGUUAAAGGAUCUGCGUCUAUGUAAGUGAGUGAUAACAACAGCGUAAGUGGUCUUAUUAAUGCGAUGGAAAGGUUGAUACUGCUUUGGGCUUUAUUUUUGUAUUACUUGUGAUUAUGUUUUAUUACUUUACCAGGCAUAACAAUUAAUUAUUUUCCACUAGGUGGCAGAGGGUACCUUGGGGUCAUACAAAGAUGGACCAGCACAAACACGGGGUGUAAAAAGAAGAAGAGACCAGGAAUAAAGCACUGACAUUGGUUAAUAACACGUUACACGUGCAUGAAAAGUAUGAAUGUUAAAGAAAUGUGUGCAAAUCACCUUCGCAUUACACAGUUGUCAUUGAGAAUGAGACUUUGUGUUGUAUUAAUAGUCAACAAAAAAUGAAGGUUUCACCAGGAUAUGGCAUUUAACAUUUAAUGUGCUGCUGUUAACAUUUUAGCAAUUAAGGAAUUACAGUGCACCAAUUUUAUGCACAAUAUCCCUUUUUCCAGGGGCUCGUUAGUAUGUGGAUAUACAUUAUUGGUAUUGCUUGAGUUUAUUUAAUUUCCUAAGACCGUGAUUGUAGGGUGGUGCUGCCCUUUUUGGCUUUGCAACUUUCUCUGGGACGGUCAUGACUGUCCCCAAACCAAACAGGAAUCACUUUUAUAAAAUCACAUUUAAAAAAAGGGGCGCUUCAGCUGCUGUUUCUGUGCCAUUCUCCAUUUUGAAAGCUUCGUGUGUCUCAAUUAGACACAAUAUUUCUGCCGACAGACUGCCUCACUUGAACAUGAAAGCCUGGGCUUAAGGAAGUCAUCACACACCUCACCAGGGGAAAGACUCACACACACAUGCAUGCAAACCCUAAAAAUAGAUCGAGGCAGCUCUCCUACAAACGCUGGUUAAUGCUCCUACCCCAGACAGUUUCAUUUGCAUAUCUUUAAUGUGUUUCGUGAGCGGCUUGCAGUGUGGUUGGUUCUUUUUGUAGCAAUGCAAAGCUAAAAAGACUUAUUGUGGUAAUUAGAGGUUUUGGUCAUUUCUGUAACACUAUAUCUGGUUUGUCAUAGUGAAGAAAGUUUUAAGUCUCUUGAUGGUAAGGGACAGUCAUCCCUAAAGCUCACUAACAAGUAGCACUUUCUCUUAUUCCGUAGCAUCAAAUCAACAGUAAGCAUCAAAGUCUCCCAUCCAUGCAGACCUUUUAGAUGCAGAGAAAAACUAUUCAUUUUGUAUUUUUCUAGCAAAAUGGCCCAUGGUUUCGGAGUUUAAACUACACACUCAAUUUUGAGCCUGUAAACAAACAAACAACAAAUAAUGCCAUGCUCCCUUAUUCGUACAACAUCGCAAUUUUCAGCUCUGCAACACCAUUGUAAAAGGGUUUUUCCAAUAAUCAGUUAACUUUAAAAAUGAUUAACUUGGUUAAAAACUGCCACACCAAGAGAUUGAGUCAUCUGAUCAUCAUAACUGUUUGUGAAAUAGAUACCAUUACUAGCACAAUUGCAUGUGGAUGUGCUUAUCAUUGAAAAACAAAACAUGUGCAAGAGCAGGACUAUGUGUGACUCGUGUGUAGCCAAAUGGGUUCAGUUCCUACUUAGUGACGGUGUGAGUGUGAAUGGACUUCAUACAGUAUGUGCCCUGUGAUUGACAGGCGACCGGCUCAGGGUGUUUUCCGCCUUUCGCUGAAAGCCAGCUGGCAUAGGCUCCAGCUUCCCUAUGACCUUGAACAGGAUAAGGGGUAGAUGCACAGAUGUUUGUUGUUCUGUCUUUGAAAAGGUUAGCAGAUUUUAUUUUAAACCUGCUCUAAUGGAUUUAUUUAUUUUUCCCAAGGGGGAAGACUUUAAACACAACAACACAUACAUAUUUAAUCUUAAUGUGCUGUCAAGAUGAGAAAGUUAUUUGUACCUCCGCUAACCACUGACAAAAAAGGAUUAACAACACAUAUUUGGAAAAUUCUAAUGUUCUGCAGCAAAAAACUGUGUCUUUUUUACAUGGGAGGAAUAAGCCGUCAUUUCCCCUCAAAAUGCAUGUUUCAAAAUAAAACAUCUAUGCCUCCUUUUUUUCAAGAGCUACUUUGACUUCAAUUCAAUUCAAAAAUAUCCAAAUAUGGAGGACCUUAUAAUUCUGCUCACAAUGAAAUAAAAUAAAUGUAACACAAAAUCACAAUGUUGCAAUGUGCCAGCCAGAAGCACCCUGACGACUCAUGGGUACCUGAAUGAGAGCCUCCAAACCAGUGUCGGAUCUUCUGCAGGUGCAGUGGCCCUUUUGGUGCCUUUUGGUGCAUGACAAUGCCCCGCAUCAUGACAUCAGCAAUUCCUGGACACGAUCCUUGUGAGCAGGCAUGGCCAGAAGUUGUAUGGAGUGCAUACAGGUCUGUGGAGGACAUACAAUACAAUACAGGCCAAGCCUCACAUGUCAUCAUGAAAAAACAUCCAUCCAAGCUUUUUCUAUACAGCUUGUCCUCAGUGCACUGAGUUGGAUGGUGAUUUGUGUUUGUCAGCAUGUGGCCAAUGUAAUGUUUGCAGGAACAUUUAUUAUACGCCAUUACUUUGGAUCAGAGACGCGCAGUCAGGGAUGGCAAAUUUAAAAAACCUAAGGUGAGCGUCUCUUCUCGGCUUAGAAGGUAACCCCUUCUUAGGCUACCGUCUGAGUGCCCUCAAUGAGUGAACUGAGUUAGAUCAUGGCGCCUGCCAGUUUCUGUUUGUCAGCAUGUCACCAAUAAUAUAAUGUUGCAGAAACAUUUAUUAUACACCAUGACUAUCUAUAGCCUGUGGAAUGUCUUUAAUGUAAGUGUGACAUCAUUAUUCUUGCUAAUCGGACUCUAAAGUACACAGAAAUGUCAUGUGGUGCCUGCGUCAUCCUGAAGGGAUGGGGGUGUGCAUGAGCUGGAAGAUGCUUGUCACUGCCGUCCUUCCAUAGUGAGGAAAAGCCAGCUUUUUUCACAGCAACACCGUCUGGAGAGCAGUGCAUUAAAUAUAUUUUUAUGCUCUGCUGAAUGAAUGAAGAUGGAGGGAUAUACACCCAAGCUCACCAGGAGGUGAUCAGACUUUUACAACAAAGUAUCAGAGUUUGUCCUAGAGGAGGAUAGGGUGCAUGUACUACAUAUACAAAUAAAAGUAAGACCACAAAUGUUUUUCAGUGAACCAAAACAAAAGAAACGGGACUAAGUGUUUGAAAAUUUGAUUUAACAAAAGUGAAUUAUUCUCUUCUCUUUCUUGUCAUCCUUUUACUGAACAACCUGUAUUAACAUUAAAAAAAAACAACAACAAAGGAGUCAGUACCUCACCAGCCAUGAACCCAACCGCACGACACUGCUUCAGUGGGUUCAUGAUUUGGGUGUCUAUAUAUGAUAUAUGUGAUUUUGUUUGCAUUCACUGGGCUCUGUGAUAUGUCAUAUAUAAUUUAUUUUUUGAGCAGAUACAUUGACCUGAAUAUGGAUUUGGUCACUAGAGACAAGGGCCUUGUGACUGAUCCUCUUUAGCCUAAGGGAUGGCUGAGGUCAUGGUUAGCUGCUCGGUCCAGCUUUGAAUGAGGGCGACAUGUAGCCAGCAAAACCUUCCCUCAACUGCUUGAUGGAUAGAGAGCUACUUUUUGUGCUACGGUGGUUGCGAGAGAUCAGUAUCGUAAGUCAGUCAGCUGAUUAACCGGCUAGCCUCAGGAUGGAAAACUCAAGGACAACUUGUUCUCUCUCCCUGGAUUCACUGUACCCGGCAGGUUUAAAAAAAAAAAAUGCAUACUGAACCACAAAGGCUGAAACAAGGUUAUACUGAACAGUCAGAGAGGUGGAAUGCAUUCAUUAAUGUUAGUUUGAGGGGUCUCCUUCGUAAGUAUUCAGUGUCCGUCUCUAUUUUAUACACGAGCAUCAAGCCACCCCUGAGGCUGUCAUUCUCACUGCGCAUAUCCAUUUAGACGAAAAAACAAUAUAGUUUAAAAACAGAACAAUUUGAUGCAAAUCGAUACAGUGUACAAACGAUAUGAUUCGAUACGAUUCUACAGUUAACAUUUGUUGAUGUAGACAUUGAUCUUACAUUAUAAAGUACAGAAGCCAGUUCUAUAAAAGUCCCACGACCUUAAUGAGGAUUAAGCGGCAUAGGAAAAAAAAUGUAUUAAUGAAUUCUAUAAAAGUGGCCUUCUUAAAGUAUUUUCUAAUGUGUAAAAGAACACAUCAUAUCUCCAAGCAAGCCAUAAGGCACUGGCAAAAAUCAAGUGCAACAUGUUUUUGUUUGAUGAGAUGUAUGUAAAAUAGAUGAAUAAAAAACAUAAAAUAAAAUAAAAAAACAAGUCUUAGCCUUCGAUCCAAUCAAUAUACCGUGUUUUCUGGACUAUAGGCCGCUCCAGAGUAUAAAGUCGCACCAGCCAAAAAUGCACAAUGUAAUAUAUAAGUCACAUUAUUUGGAGGGAAAUUUAUUUUAUAAAAUCAGAGACCAAGAACAGACAUUUCAUCUUGAAAGGCAAGUUAUAGUAAUAAUAAAAUGGAGAACAACAGGCUAAAUAAGCGUCUGUUAACGUAACAUAUUAAAACAACCAGCAAAGUCAUCUAUGUUCAUUGCUUUGGCACCAACUUGGCCGUGGAGACGUAACUGCACUGUUGACAAGCCUCUCCCAGCGGCACGUUGUUCAAGCACCCGUUUGUGAAGUUGUUCCUCUAGCUGUGGCCAUCUCGCUUUUAUCCUGAGAUAAGCUUUUUUUGUUUCCUUCAUUGCAGUUCGAGUAUCCUGCGCUUUUCGCCAGUCCCUCACAAGUUUCUCGUUCACUCCAAACUUUCUUUCUGCUGCUCGAUUACCAUCUUUAACUGCACUUGUGGUCCGUCUUUCUCAGUUGUCUUUAUAAGCUUUAUAAGCGUGUGCAAAUAGACUAUGAACAGGUACGCAGACGGAAUAAAAUGACAUUCCAAACCAUAGAAGAAGAAAAAAACGGAUGUGCACAAGUCCGUCGUCUUCCGCUUACGAGAAGUAGAAUUACUUCUGCAAGUCAUUAUGGAGAAAACUUCAUAUCAUGUCUUCUGAAUGCUUUAUAUUUGUAUUUUCGUUCAUUUUCCAUUUUUAUGCUUGAAAAUACUUGUGCCGAGAAGACAGGCAAUUUGCUUAAAUAUGCAUUUGAAAUAUGCAUUUUUUUAGUCAGUUAAUAUUCAACCACAAAACAGAUAAUUUAUUAAUGAAUGCAUUUUUGUAAAACCGCAAUUGAGCGAGCGCGCGAUGUUCAAACUGCAUUGCAGAGAGAGACAACUUUAGUGUUUUUUUUUCUUCUUUUUUCGUACAAGUUCUAGAGUGACACCAACGAUUUCUUGUGUGUUUUAUCAUACUUGGCCAAUACAAAUGAUGUUUCCUGAGUCACCCUGGUAUUGUUCAUAGGAGUAUCUGUGCAGGACAUUUGCAAGGCAGUGAUCUUGGUUUGUCUUACACUUCAGUAGGUUUUGUUAGUAUCUGCCAGUGUGGGUAUACAUGCUUCAGUCAAAUAGAUUCUAGGUACUGCAGUACUCGCUUUGUCAUUCAUUCUCCACUUUUCAGCCCAUCUGACUGCAGUCAUUCUGUCACCUGUGAUUUCCCCUGUUUCUGUACAAGAGUCUUCCAAGCUAUACAAGCCCCCGUCCAGUGGAAGAACGCGAGGCACGAUGCCAGCCAGCCAGGGCGCCAGUCGGGUAGAACAUCAGUAGCAUUAAAGACAUGUUAUCCACCCAAGUGGAUCUGCCUGGCUUAGAGCCCUGAUCCCCUGUGUGGGCCCCUCCACUCAAUGCUGUCCCUCUAUUCCAUUAGACCCUUCUUGCUUUAUCAGCGUAGCACUCAGACAUCCAGUGUGCUGCUUUAUGUCUCUUAAAAUACGCACACAACUAAAUGACUUGGGUGCUUGAAAUAACUACUUUCUCAUCUCCAGCCAAGCUACCCUGUCAGUCAACUCUUUAAAGGGACAGGGACUGGAAAACAGGAGAAACAGAACUGAUGUCCACUUGUUUUAUUAAAGAAUAUAAAGUCAACUUUUAUCCCUCCAUCUUGCACGCUAGUCCCUUAGAUCCUUCAAAUGGCACGAUAUGCUUUGUUUUAUACCGUAAAUAGCUACGGUACAUAAGGGACGUGGGGUCAUUGGCUAAAAAUAUAUUUUUUCCUGUUUGGUUUCAGAAUUUACAUCAGUUGUGUCGGGAAUUAACGGGAAUUGCAUUGUUUCAUGGAUUCACUUUUCGACUUCAUUCUAUAUUGAUAAUGAAACUGCCCUUUGUAAAGAUACUACCGGAACUGAGAAGGGUAGAAGGAGUUUCAUUGAGUCUUUGUGGAUUUAGAAAAAGUGUACGACAGAGCGUGGUGAGAGAAGCUGUGGUACAGCAUGAGGAAAUCUGGGCUGACAGAGAAAUACUGUAUGUUAGAGUUGUACAGGAAAUGUAUGAGGGCAGCACGACCACAGUGAGGUGUGCUGUCGGUGUCACAGAUAGAUUUCAGGUGCAGGUUGGACUGCAUCAAGGAUUGGUCCUGAGCCCCAUGGACAACAAUGUUGACAGAUGACAUUGUGAUCUGCAGUAAAUGCAGAGAGCAGAUGGAAGGAAACCUAGACAAGUGAAGGAAUAAGCUGGAGGGGAGAGAAAUGAAGGUCAGUCACAGCAAGACAGAAUACAUGUGUGUCAAUAAAAGGGUAUUAGGUAGAAGUGUGAGGAUGCAAGGAGUAGAGGUGAGGAAGGCGGAGGAGUUGAAGUACUUAGGUUCAAUUGUUCAGAGCAACGGAGAGUGUGGAAAAGAGGUCAAGAAGCGAGUGUUGGCAGGGUGGAGUGGGUUGAGAAGAGUGCCAGCAUUCCUUUGUGACAAAAGAGUAUCAGCAAAAGUGAGGGAAAAGAUUUACAGGACGGUAGUGAGACCACCCCUGGUGUAUGGCCUGGAGACCACAGCUCUGACCAACACACAGGAGGAGGAGGCAGAGCUGAAGAUGCUAGAUUUUCAUUGGGAGUGAUGAGAAUGGACAGGAUUAGAAAUCACAUCAGAGGACGUAUACGUCUCAGUAGACGUCUCUCAAGGUCAGAGAAGCCAGACUGAGAUGUUUUGGCCAUGUGAGAAGGAGGGAUUGUGAUGAUAUUGGUAUUGGUAAUGAUGCUGGAGAUGGGGCUGGCAAGGAGGACAAAAUGGCAGAAGACCAUCCACCCAUCCUUUUUCUAUGCCGCUUAUCCUAAUUAGGGUCACGGGGGUAUGCUGGAGCCUAUCCCAGCUGACUUUGGGCGAGACUGGACUGGUCGCCAGCCAAUCGCAGGGCACAUAUACACAAACAAUCACUCACACUCACAUUCAUACCUAUGGGCAAUUUAGAGUCGCAAAUUAACCUAACAUGCAUGUUUUUUUGGAAUGUGGGAGGAAACCGGAGUAUUGGGAGAAAACCCAUGCACACACGGGGAGAACAUGCAAACUCCACACAUAGAUACCGAAGGAAAUUCAAACCCAGGUCUUCCAGAUCUACUGACUGUGUGGCCAACAUGCUAACCACUUGGCCACAGUGCAGCAUGGCGGAAGACCAAUGACAAGAUUUCUAAUGUGUUUAGAGAAGACAAGCAGGUGGGAGGACUGACAGAGGAAGAUGCAAAGGACAGAGCAAGGUGGUAAUCCCUCAAAAAUUUGAUAUGAAUCAUAUCAGAUCAUAUUGUGGUCAGUUUUACGACCGAUAAACGUGCUCCAAAACGCUGGUUAUGCAAGGGGGGGAUUGAGACGUCUUCCUUCAAUAUUUUUAAUCUAAUAUCACACCUCUGGAAGAAUCACUCGAAGUCGCACGCAGUGUUUUAGCACUUUUUUAAUAACUUGUUACAUAUUGCAGUAUUUGUCUGAUUUUGCACAAACAGAAGCAUAAUGUGUUCAUUACAUGACACUAGUUGGAGAGAAGCUGCUGCUGCUGAUACGAUAUCGCGUUGGACAUAUUUGAUAUCGGUAAGAAAGCCACUAUUGAUAAUCUCUAGAAUUAAUUCAUCAUGGGAGUAUUAUUUAAAAACCUUCAUUCAGCAAUAUUUCAAGCUCAAAAUAUGGUCAAGAGCUGUUAAAAAUGAAUAAAACUGACCUAUUGCACAGCUUAUUUCUGGUUUGAAUGCAUUCAUCGGUUGCCUGUCCGCUCAUCAGCAGCUGGUGCAAAGUGAGCUGCUGCUGCUGCUCCAAACAAGCUCUUCCUGUUAGCAAUAAACCAGUGAUGAAUUCAUUUGCGUUUGUAUGAGAAUGCACAAAUGAAUAUUUAGGAAUUGAGCAAAAAUAUCGUUAUAAGGGCGUUCCUGCCAUGUCGGACAGACAUGCAGGGAUCGGCGGGCGGGCUGCUUCCAGAUGCGUACAAACAGCAAGCCGA
Long non-coding RNA from Dunckerocampus dactyliophorus (ringed pipefish), 9747 nucleotides. RefSeq lists it as uncharacterized. Lineage: Eukaryota; Metazoa; Chordata; Actinopteri; Syngnathiformes; Syngnathidae. The transcript is spliced from 3 exons. The record is from RefSeq and is a predicted model, not a curated record.